GUGGCCGUCACCCUUCGUCAGGGCAGGGUAGCAUCAGUGCUCCCGUGCUGGGGUUCCUGGAGAGCCGGCUGGCACGGACAGACUCUUGUGAGGGCAAGUGGCUGAUCGUGCGUCGGAUGGGUCCAGCAAAGGAGAGAAAGCUUCGGUGCGCGCGCGCUCGCCAGGGAAAGGGUGACAGCGGGUGGGACCGAGAGGGAGAGAGAGAGAGGGAGAGAACAAAGGAAGAGAGAGGGUUUCCGCAGGGGCGGUGAGUCCUGGCGGAAGUCCUGAGGCAGAGGAGGUGCCAGGGGUUUGGGUUUCCCGGUCGUGUCGGGGUGUGGCGCAGGUUGCCCCAGUGGGCCUGAAUGUGCCUCCGUGGGGCACCUUGUUGCCGUGUUGGGGGGCGGGGAGCCGGCCUUGGGGAUCCAUCUUUCGGGCCCUGGGACGUGGGAGAAGAAUGCCGGGGCCUCUCUCUGUGCCCCUGGCACGCCUCUGUGCAGGCCGGGCCUGCACCACCCCCCGCCCGUCCCCAGGCAGGGUCCGUGUGGCUGCAGACACCCAGAGAGAGGGGAGGCUGGGGAGGCUGGGGAGCCGUGGCAGCCCGAUGCAGUGCGGGUCUCCAGGUGGAGGGGCCCUGGUCCCCUGGCGCCAGCGUGGCCCUUCCUCCUUGUGGAAACCCUUGUGGUGUGUGUGCUCUCUCGCCCUGACCCAGGAGAGCAGCAUGGCGGACCCCUGAUCUUGUGGCGUGCCACCGCGCGAGGCCGAGGAGCUCCCGCAGACCAGUGGGCGUGGCGUCCUUGUCGCGGCUCUGUGGAGACCUGGCGAUGGAGAGCAGCAUGGCGGACCCCUGAUCUUGUGGCGUGCCACCGCGCGAGGCCGAGGAGCUCCCGCAGCCCAGUGGGCGUGGCGUCCUUGUCGCGGCUCUGUGGAGACCUGGCGAUGGUGAGCGGCCCCUGUCCUCAGUGGUGGAGAACUCGCCCUUGGGGCGCUCGUCUGUCCGGAGCCCCGGGCCAGCCCCGCUUCUCGCGGGCUUUGGCCCCGGCAGGCCAGCUCCGGGGGCGUGAGGGGGAGCGUCCCGUCCUGCCCAGUGGCUCGUCUGUCUGGGCACGCCCCCAAACGCUGCCGUGAUGGAGCGGGUGGGAUGUCCAGGUGCGGAGGCCGUGAAUUUGCCUUGCGGCGGCGGAGCCCGUGCUCGGAUCGAUGAUGACUCCCUCUAAAGCAUUCCUUGGAAAUCUGAACAAAAUGAGUGAGAACUCACUACCGUCUCCUCAUCGAAACUGAGGUCCGGCACGUGGCGGCCACCGGGGGCUCGGGGGUAGAUGGGCCCUUGGCCUUGGGGCCUCUGGGUGUCAGCAGCCACUCGGGUGAGGUCUGGGGAAGGCGGCCGCCUGCCGGGCCCAGGAAGCAUGGGGCCCGUCGCCCGGCGCUGGCCUCGGGGGCGAGGCCGCGUGCCCGAGCGUGCUGGAGAUCCCGGGCGGCCUCCCGCCGGCCUUGGGGGGUUUCGCAAGCCGUCGCGGGGGCCGAAAUUUGGGCCCGGCCCGCGAGGCAAGUGUGCGGCCCUAGGGCCCCAGGGGGCGUCCUGGCCCAGGCCGGGCGCCCUUCUCAGGAUGCUGUGGGGAGACGGGAUCCCGGCAGGGUAGUGUUCUCUUUCUGCUCUGGGGACCCCUGAGGGCCACCUGCUGCAGGGGGUCUGUGGUAGCGGGGGCCCUUGGAUCAGGGCCGUCCCCCAUGGGAGGGGGGCAGCCUGGGAACCCCUGAGGGCG
RNAcentral lists this long non-coding RNA (1742 nucleotides) under Sus scrofa (pig). RNAcentral describes it as "lncRNA (ENSSSCG00070018975.1)". The stretch from base 1174 to 1265 matches the Rfam family "Small nucleolar RNA SNORD116". Lineage: Eukaryota; Metazoa; Chordata; Mammalia; Artiodactyla; Suidae. The record is from RNAcentral.